Long non-coding RNA from Tupaia belangeri chinensis (Chinese tree shrew), 389 nucleotides. RefSeq lists it as uncharacterized. The record is from RefSeq and is a predicted model, not a curated record. The transcript has 3 exons. NCBI's taxonomy places the organism in Eukaryota, Metazoa, Chordata, Mammalia, Scandentia, Tupaiidae.
UCAUGGAAACACGUACUUCUCUGUGCUUUUGUGAACUUGCGCUGCUAGUGGUGUUGAGAGUCCAUGAACUGGGAAAAUGUUGGGCAAGUAAAAAGGUACUGAGACCUGAGGAAACCAGUUACACAUCACAUAGAGAUAACUGGAAAUGACACCAUCACUGGAAUGCUGUCCAGCAUCUUGCAUCAUAUAUCCGGAGCUUAAAGUUGGAGACUGGAGUCUGGAGCAGCACUGGGAUGCAUGUGCUGGCCAUGCCUGGAGAAUUCCAGCCUGUCCUUUAGGAUUCUGGUCCUAUUUUUAUCUUGUCACUUAGUCAUUCUGGGCUACAUUUUCUUUACUCAUAAAAUGAAAGAGUUGGGUGAAAUAAUAAAACCUUAGAGUGCUUGCCACUU